Molecule: unclassified non-coding RNA, 316 nt
Filed under: uncultured fungus
Lineage: Eukaryota; Fungi
Description: partial contains 5.8S ribosomal RNA and internal transcribed spacer 2
Rfam family: 5.8S ribosomal RNA (bases 1-133)
Source: RNAcentral
UGGCUCUGGCAUCGAUGAAGAACGCAGCGAAAUGCGAUACGUAAUGUGAAUUGCAGAAUUCAGUGAAUCAUCGAAUCUUUGAACGCAUAUUGCGCCCUUCGGUAUUCCGGAGGGCAUGCCUGUCCGAGCGUCAUUAACACCACUCAAGUUAAUCUUGGUUUUGAGGCUGGCCGUCGUGGCCACCUCUAAUUACAGUGGUCGACCUCUACCAUCUCGAGCGCAGUACAAUUUCUCGCUAGGUGAUGUGUAGCAGGCUGCUGACCAAAAAUCAAAUUAUACGCUAGUUGACCUCGGAUCAGGUAGGAGUACCCGCUGA